Molecule: long non-coding RNA, 1275 nt
Organism: Globicephala melas (long-finned pilot whale)
Lineage: Eukaryota; Metazoa; Chordata; Mammalia; Artiodactyla; Delphinidae
Source: RefSeq, a predicted model, not a curated record
AGAAGGUCAAUCCGAGUCAUCAAGCAACGCAGGAAAACAGUGUGGGGUCUAGAGCAGCUGUCCAUAACAUACGGGACCCCCAUGGAUAUCGGUAGUGACCAAGGAACCCACUUUACUGACCAGGAGGUUCAGGAAUGGGCUGAUGAAAAAUGACAUAUGCUGGUAUUUCCACCUGCUUUAUGACCCUACUACUGCCAGGCUAAUGAAAGGAUGAAUGGACUACUUAAUAGAGACUGAAACCCGCUCUCCACAUGUGGACGAGGAGGCUGACUCAAGCCCCAUGAACUCUAGCUGAACGUCGCAGGAGUAAUCAACCCUGUGGCUAAGCCAUGUUAACCCAGAGGCAACUAGUCCACGCCAUCCAAGUCCAACUGUUGACCACCGCAGGACCGUUGCCAAGUAUCGAUCUGGACAGUAACUUGCUUUUGCCCUGCCCACGGGACCUAUCCCCAGGAGAAGACAUUGUAAAACGGCCCGGGAGUCGCAGGUGGGAGGCAUUACAGAAGGUCAAUCCGAGUCAUCAAGCAACGCAGGAAAACAGUGUGGGGUCUAGAGCAGCUGUCCAUAACAUACGGGACCCCCAUGGAUAUCGGUAGUGACCAAGGAACCCACUUUACUGACCAGGAGGUUCAGGAAUGGGCUGAUGAAAAAUGACAUAUGCUGGUAUUUCCACCUGCUUUAUGACCCUACUACUGCCAGGCUAAUGAAAGGAUGAAUGGACUACUUAAUAGAGACUGAAACCCGCUCUCCACAUGUGGACGAGGAGGCUGACUCAAGCCCCAUGAACUCUAGCUGAACGUCGCAGGAGUAAUCAACCCUGUGGCUAAGCCAUGUUAACCCAGAGGCAACUAGUCCACGCCAUCCAAGUCCAACUGUUGACCACCGCAGGACCGUUGCCAAGUAUCGAUCUGGACAGUAACUUGCUUUUGCCCUGCCCACGGGACCUAUCCCCAGGAGAAGACAUUGUAAAACGGCCCGGGAGUCGCAGGUGGGAGGCAUUACAGAAGGUCAAUCCGAGUCAUCAAGCAACGCAGGAAAACAGUGUGGGGUCUAGAGCAGCUGUCCAUAACAUACGGGACCCCCAUGGAUAUCGGUAGUGACCAAGGAACCCACUUUACUGACCAGGAGGUUCAGGAAUGGGCUGAUGAAAAAUGACAUAUGCUGGUAUUUCCACCUGCUUUAUGACCCUACUACUGCCAGGCUAAUGAAAGGAUGAAUGGACUACUUAAUAGAGACUGAAACCCGCUCUCCACAUGUGGACGAGGAGGCUGACUC